This 491-nucleotide ribosomal RNA is filed under the name uncultured bacterium. RNAcentral's name for it is "partial 16S ribosomal RNA". It matches the Rfam family "Bacterial small subunit ribosomal RNA", at positions 29 to 507 of the family's 1533-position model. The record is from RNAcentral.
GUGAACGCUGGCGGUAGGCCUAACCCAUGCACGUCGAACGGCAGCACAGUAAGAGCUUGCUCUUACGGGUGGCGAGUGGCGGACGGGUGAGGAAUACAUCGGAAUCUACUUUUUCGUGGGGGAUAACGUAGGGAAACUUACGCUAAUACCGCAUACGACCUACGGGUGAAAGCAGGGGAUCUUCGGACCUUGCGCGAUUGAAUGAGCCGAUGUCGGAUUAGCUAGUUGGCGGGGUAAAGGCCCACCAAGGCGACGAUCCGUAGCUGGUCUGAGAGGAUGAUCAGCCACACUGGAACUGAGACACGGUCCAGACUCCUACGGGAGGCAGCAGUGGGGAAUAUUGGACAAUGGGCGCAAGCCUGAUCCAGCCAUACCGCGUGGGUGAAGAAGGCCUUCGGGUUGUAAAGCCCUUUUGUUGGGAAAGAAAUCCAGCCGGCUAAUACCUGGUUGGGAUGACGGUACCCAAAGAAUAAGCACCGGCUAACUUCGUG